UCAAAAACUGCAGUUUGCAAAUUUUUGAUUCCUUAGCUCCCGAAAACCUUCCACAACGCACUUUUACUCAUUUUAACACCUUCGGACUUUCCGAAGUGUACCGUCCUCGCACUUUGGUCAAUUUGACUAAAGUUCGACAUUUAUUUUCCGAAUUCUCGGUAUAUUACAUUCUCCACCCCUUAAAAUAAUUUCGUCCACGAAAUUACAUAUAUCUUAACUUGUUGACUCAAAUGAAU
RNAcentral lists this long non-coding RNA (236 nucleotides) under Ananas comosus (pineapple). RNAcentral's name for it is "long non-coding RNA (ACOM_LNC038455)". The record is from RNAcentral. Lineage: Eukaryota; Viridiplantae; Streptophyta; Magnoliopsida; Poales; Bromeliaceae.